CUAGAGUUGCUCUAAGACUGCUCUAAUUUAGAGCCACCAUGACGCGAAGCCCACCGGCGGCUCAUCGUUGACACGGAGAGCCCCGGGAGGCCGUACCGACGGCACGCCGCUGCUUGUUCCCACCGCCCCCUCCAUCUGAUCUCCCUGUCCCUCUCGCCCGCCCGCAUUACACCUCCCGCCUCCAACGAGCAGCAGAUUCAUCAGCAGUUCGCUUUCUCUCCGUUCCGGCCUCUUGGCGCUGACGACUCCGCAAGCGGCGAUGGGGAAGCCGCGGGCGGUGCUGGCCCUGGCUGCGGCGGCGGCGGCAUUGCUCCUCUCCUUCUUGGCCGCCGCCGUAGGGGGGCAGGGCGCCGGGAGGAUCCAAGAGUAUAGGAAGUGCUGAUGAUGACUCUGCCAGGGGGCUCAAGGUGUAUAUGUAUAUCUAUGGUCUCCCUGAAAAAUACAACAAGCCGCUGAAGAAGGAACCUAGGUGCCUGAACUACAUGUUCGCCAUGGAGAUCUUCAUGGAACAGUUUCUGUUGCCGAGUGUGAUCCAGAUUUUAAUCCCGAGGAUGCAAUUUGGUUGUAUACAUGCUAUUCAGAUGUGCAGCGCAAUUGAGCAGAUUACGACGAAAUGACCUUACUGGAAUAGAUCAAGGGAGGGGAUCAUUUCUUUGUCACACACAUGACUUUGGUGCUUGCUUCCGUUAUGAGGAAGAGAAACCAAUUGUACGAGGAGUAGGCAUGCGCGGGUGUUUUUUGGUCAUCUCUUCUCCCAUGUAUUCCCUUGUGCUCUGGUUAGUUUGAACCUAUGUUGCAAGGGGCUGCAAUGCCUAUCGUAGGCAAAAGUGAAUGAAA
Long non-coding RNA from Triticum dicoccoides, 837 nucleotides. RefSeq lists it as uncharacterized. The record is from RefSeq and is a predicted model, not a curated record. The transcript has 3 exons. NCBI's taxonomy places the organism in Eukaryota, Viridiplantae, Streptophyta, Magnoliopsida, Poales, Poaceae.